GUCAGGAGUUUGACCUUACCUGAGCAUUCUGGUGGGGAACCACUGAUGACUUGAAGCGAGAAUAAGGUACAGCAAUCAGAUUGAAAUUUUAGUAAUGAGAGUGACAAUUGAUCCUUACCGGACACUCAGCAAAAGCCAGACCCCGUGUAGAGAAGUGUGGCCCGGUGGCGUGCCGCAGUGAUCUGUGAGGCGGGUACUGCUGUGCUCAUUUCUCAGCCGAAGAAAGGGCAGGAGGGGUCGGCUAGCCCUGGGCACGUGCAGAGCGGGCCUUGGACCUAGGCACCCCUAGGCACUGGGCGGUGGCCUCCCCCUGGUAGAAAACCCGGUCUGGUAGCAAGGGAGCUAGGGGGGCUGCAGGGAGAUGGGCUGCAUGAGGGGAACCGGCUCCAGCAGGCUAAGGAGCGGGGGCUCCAGGCUGAUGGGAAGUUGAGGGUAGGUGAGGGGACCCCAGAAGCUGGUAUGUCCUGCAGGUCUCUGAGCUGAGGUUUUAUUACUUAAUUAGGAAACGUCUCAAGCACAGAAACGAGAAUUGUAUCCUCAACGCCCUUUGCACCCCACCCACUUAGAACAAGUACCAAAAGUUUGCUGCAUCUUCUUUACCUAUGGAUCCCCCUUCUUUCCUCGAAUGACCUCUCACCCCUGCCCACUUGAGAGUGCUUUUCCUACAGAACCACACAGUAAGUAAGUGCCUUCCUUAGCACAGCUGCCAAAAUAAAGGAUUUCACAUAGGACCCAGUCUGUGAUCAGAGGUGCCCAACUGCCUCAGAAACGGCCCUUCACCGUUGGUCCGUGAGGCUCCUCGGCGCGCAGGGUCUGCGCUCCGGUCUGUCUUGUGUGCACAGCACCUGUUGGCUUUUCCCCGCGGCUUUGACGCAGCAGAAACAGUGACAAGGGAUCAGAUAAAGGAAGCCGUUGUUCGUGUCGCGUGUACAAAGUUUGAGGAAUGUUUGACGUUCACUGUCCCGGUGGUGUAUCUGGGAGGUACAUGGAGCCCUGGAGAGAUCUGAGCGUGGGUAGCCGUACAGAAUCCUGAAGAAUGAGCAGAGGCGCCACGCACUGGGUGCUUGCUGGGUAUCCAGGACCUGGCGGGUGCUGUUACUAAAGCCCUAAUCCAAGCUGACCCUACUCUUCAGCCGUGUGACUCUGGGCAAGUUACCUAACUCCUCUCGGGGCUGAUGUUCCCAUCUGGGGGAUGAAGACCCCGCCUUUGCAGGGGAGCGUUAAGGGCCCGGGGCGAUAUCGUGUGCAUGGGCUCAGCUCGUCUCAGGCACGCGGUGAUCGCAGGUAGGGGGUUGCUGCUGAGUCCCGGGCUUGGAGUUGUCGUUAACAAAGGCACACUGCUCUUACAAGUGAUUGUCUCUAACCCCGUGUGCGCCAGCUUCAUGAUGGGAUUCCCGGUGCAUCAAAGAGGCAGUUGGUGAACAGAACAUCAGACACGAACGUGAAGCUUGGCGGAGCUCUGAAAUGCUGAAUUUCAGGACUUGCCAUUUAUUUAUUUAUUUAUUUAUUUAUUUAUUUAUUUAUUUAUUUUUAUUAUUUUUUUAAACUAACAUCUUUAUGAAACUGAAAAUGGUAUGCAUUCUUUUUUUUUUUUUUAAGACUUUAUUUAUUUAUUUGAGAGAGAGAAUGAGAGACAGAGAGCAUGAGAGGGAGGAGGGUCAGAGGGAGAGGCAGACUCCCCGCCGAGCAGGGAGCCCGAUGCGGGACUCGAUCCAGGGACUCGAUCCAGGGACUCGAUCCAGGGACUCCAGGACCAUGACCUGAGCCGAAGGCAGUCGCUUAACCAACUGAGCCACCCAGGCGCCUGAGGACUUGCCAUUUAUGUGGGAAAUGCUCAUCUCUUUAUCUCUCUGGCCUGUUCUGAUGGGCCAGGAUGGGGCCACUGACUGUGCAUUGUGCGGACAAGGUAGACCCUAAGUGGAGGGUUUGGGUCUGUUGGUGGAUACAAAAUGCAGAUUCUUCAUGAACCCCGGUGCUGGCCUAUCUGGAAUCAGAUCCAGCAGGUUUGGAGCCUACUAGCAGUUUUCAGAAGUUCCCAGAUACAGUCACAUCUCCCGCUGAAAUGUAGGCAGGACAGGUAUCAUGACCUCCAUCACAUAAUGAAGGAGCUGGAGGUCAGAGAGACGAAGUCAUUUGCCCAAAGCCAUAUGGCCAGUAAAUUGGCAAGUCGGAACUAGAAGUCAGAACCAGUGUUCUUUCCAAGGCCCCAACAUUUCCUAAGAUGUGUGGGAAGAACAUUUCUGAAGGAGAUUAAUAAAUGCUCCAUUAAAGACAAAUUCUGUUAAUAAUUGGCUUGGGAAAUACUAGAAAUAAAUACAUACAUACAUACAUAAAAGGUUAAAUGGGGAUCUUGUUGAAGGAGCUCUCAGAGCCUCCCUGAGUGUUCCAGGGACUCUGCGGGGAGGAACGGACUUGACCUGGCUUCUUCAGCACAAACCACACAGGCCCAAGGAGCUGCACGGUGACCUCCCCCCCAGCCCAUUCCCCUGGGCCCCGAGGAAGCAUCAAUACCUCCCCAAUCCCCUCUGUCCCCUGUCAAUGUGGAUGGGCCCUGGGGUGAAGGAUGUGGGCCAGGAAGUGCCCUGGGAGCACAAGGACACACCUGACCCUGAGCCCAUCACAGCACACAGCUUCCACGGCCAGUUACAGGUGUACCCACAGGUCUUCCGAAGAGCCUUUCUGCUGGGGGCACAUAACUAUGACAGUGUAUCCUCUGGCACCUUGACUAAGGUAAGGCAUCUCUCCUUUAAACCCAUCCAGUUCCCACGUGGCAGUUGGCUGGCUCUGCCUGGCACGGGGCUUGGGAAAGCUAACAAGAGAUGCAGGGCGGUGGGGGGCAGCCAGGGUGAGCACACAGUAGUGAAACACUGAAUGAAUGAAUGACCAGAUCCCUGGGUCGACCAGGCUUGAGGACCGGGCAGGCCAGGGCUCCGUGGUCCCCUCCUCCCCUCCAGCUCCCACAGCUCACCCUGCCCUUGGCGCGGCCCCAGAGCCAGCACAGUUCCCCAUUCACCGUGUUCCCACCUUCGAUUAUGGAGAUACGGUGGCAGAGAGAGCGGGGCGGACAAAGGACCACUUGUUCGUACAAUGGAGAAGGGGCCUUUUAGAAAGUGGCGGCUAUUGCUUGCAGAAGGAAUCCUGUGGGAAGGGAGCCCUCUGUAUUCUUUCCAGCUUUUCUUAUAUAUAAAAAGGAAGGGUGAGCUCAGCUCAGGUUGGAUUGAAAACGGAUCCCUCGAUCACAGGUGUAUAGGAAUCAUGAUCCUCCCUCUCCCCGCCCGCUACAAGAGUGUCCUGCCUGGAAAUCACAGAUAACUGGGGAUGGCUGGAGACUUGAGGGAGCUUCAGUGUCGGAGGUCAAACUCCAGUGUUCAAGGGGCCUGACCGUGCAUGAGCUGAAGGUAUUACAUUCAUCUCUAAGCAGAGAGAUGGGCUCAUCACUGGAGAGAAGAUCAGAAGGGAGAUAGGUAACCAGAUUUCCCUGUUCUGAACAUUUGGAUAUAUGGAAUCAUACAACAUGUGGCCUUUCGUGUCUGACUUCUUUCACUUAGCAUCAUGUUUUCAAGGUUCUGCCAUGUUGUAGCAGGUGACAGGAAUCCAUUCCUGUUUGUGGCAGGAUAACAUUUUACUGUAUGGAUAUACUACAUUUUGUUUAUGCAUUCAUCAGUGGAUGGACAUAUCUCGAUAGACUUUGUACCCCUGUGGGUCAUGGGAUUGCAGGAAAGAAAAGAUUCUCCAUGCCUGCCUUUCAAAAGAAGAGAAGGAAAGCCCACUGAGAGGCAUAGACUGGAGUGCUGGUACCUAUUUGUUGAGUGACAGAGAGCAAAGGAUCCAAUGAUGGUGAUCGAGGUUUCAAAGGAUCUUCUGGCUGCACAUGUUUGCAGGGACAUUUCUACCUGCUUGGCUGUCUUUUGCACCUUUUGUUUGGUCAUCACGGUCUCAGCCAAUGGUCCCAGGGGUGGCUUAGACAACACAAAGCACCACUCCUGACACUUGAACUGAUGAAUUCCAUUAGACCGUUGUACUCUGAUCCCAGGAUGAAGCAAAGAAAGACUGCUGUUGCAAUGCAGAGGUAGUCAUAAAUGCUGAAAAUAGCCUUUUACCAAGGGUUGUGUUGGUGGAGUCCCCCUCAGUGAUUAGGUGUGAGCACCCUGGCCAAAUUCCAGCAACGAGUAAGACAUUAGAAAGUGAAACACAAAAACGAAUGGGGAUCAGAUGCUUUAUCAUUGUAGUCAUUGGUCUGUGGAGGUCCUGCUGGGCACCGGGCCCUGAGUGGUCUGUGCUUGGAAGACGUCAGGAGGACCAAGGAAACAUCGGGAGGUCAGCGGAAUGCCUCGCCCAUGGACUCUGGAGGGGGCAAUACUUCAGGGUCCAGUGGGUUCAACUUUCAUCACUCAGAUCCUGUAUUUUGCUUAGGAGGCUCAGUCAGGCCGGGAUCCUGAAGGAUGUGGGCACCAGGACCGCAGCAUGGGAGUCCUCCAGACGCCCGCCUGCGGCUCGGUGGCCUGUGGGACCGGCGGGCCGGGGUCUGCAGCCCGGGCUGGGGAGAACCCGGCAGAGCGGCGGUUCUCGGCGUUUCCAGAUUUCUCUCUCAACAGGCUCUACCUGGAACUUGCCCCGCCCCCAGCUGCAGAGCAGGCACCGGGCUGAGCCGGGCCAGGGCGGGCAGGCGGCCUGGGGACCACAGAGCCACAAGCCACAGGGAGCAGCCAGCCUUCAUGCCGACUCUGAGCUCGUCCUUGUCCCCGGGGAGGUGAGGGAUCCUGCAGAAUCCUCUGGUUGUCAGACUCUGAUGUGUCCAGUGGACACAGGCUUUUGGCUACAAAAUUUGAGUGGAGAAAAAAAAACAGAGAAAGCUGGAGAAACGCUGGGCAACCACUGGCCUCUGGAGCUGGAUGCAGAAUGGAUUCUUAGAUGGAGAAGAGACAGGGGAGAGAGACAGACAGACAGACACCAGACACCAACCUGAAUUGGAAAGAACAUAGGCCAGUGUUGCCCGCUGGGAACUGACAUCACAAAUAGAGUGUGGGUGAAUUAUAAAGAAGUCCGGGGCUCACCAGAACCUUUCAGCCUCCAGACCAGAGAAGGAGCGAAGGGCGGGAGUGAAGCCGACCUCUCCCGGGAAGAUGGAAGGAACUGCUCAUGUGGAAGGUGCCAGGCAAACGGCGGGAGCCGCGGCUCGCCCUUGGGCCCUCCCUAGCUGCCUCUGAUAUAAAGCGGUGGGAAAGGAACCUCGGAGGAGAGAAGAAAGUGUCCGCGAAACUGCAUCUUGUCCCACCCGAAUUGGUGUGCAGAGCAGAGCCAGGCUCCCGUUUGCUCACGAGCAAAGGGCACCAGGAAAGGGCGGGGCCUACCGCGAGCUCCACGCCGCGAAUCCCAGCUCCUCCUCCCGAGCGCCGCGCAGCGGGCGAGGCGGGAGCCCCCUGGGCCCCGCGCCGCUGAGCGCGCGCCCGGGAACCAGAGCCCAGACGGUCGCGGUCCCUGAUCUCGGACCCGGGCCCGACCCGCUGUCCUCUGUGGGUCCCCGGGAGCGGCCGCGGGGCUAGGAGAUCCGGCGGAGAUCCCGCGAAGCCCGGGCAAAGCCGGGGCGGGGGGGGGGGGGUCGGGAGGGGGGGGACCCUCCGUUCAGGGCGGAAAGGCCCUUGGCAAGGGUGCGCCCCAGCCCAGGCGCGGUACGUACGAUCCCUGCUUCCAAAACUGUCUGUCCGAGACAACUUCCCUCUCCUUCAUCGCCGCCCCGUCUGAGUCUCGCUCCGGACUCGGUGGCAGCGGGGGAGAGGGAGGACCUUUGGGAGCGCGGCUCUGUUUGCGUCUGAGUCCGCGGCAGGUGCUUCGGGGAGACAGCCGCCCUUGGGGGGCAGGAGGCCCUCCCCCAACAGUCCAGAGGCUAGAAGUCACCACGCCAGCCGAGACAGGGACGGAUGGGGACAGGUACGAAUGAACAGCAGGUUUGUUAAGUUACCCGGAGCUCCCUGGAAGGAAAACUCUGUUCUGUUCCAAAUGCACAUUAUUUGAGCUUCCUCUUCAUGGCUGCGUCACCCCCAGCCUCUUUGCUGCUGUCAGUGGAGGGACUGGAGAAAGAUGGCUCCUUGAUCACCUUCUGUACCCAAGGCACGGGGAGACCCUGGGUACACAAGACGGUUAAGACAUAAUUUAUCUCCCACAGAUGCUCACAGCCUGGACAGGUACAUGAACUAUAAACUAAUAAGGACCAUGCGUGCGUCAAGUGCUAUAAAAAUGCACUUAACAAGGAUUUGGGAACAGGGGGGAAGGAGCCCAGGAGUGCCCAGGAACAAAGAAAUGGUCCCUGCGUGAUUCUGACAGGCUUUCAACAUCUGGAGCCGACCGUGAUUGCUACCGUGCUCUGACUAGGUAGCAAACAACUUCCUCAUUUUAUGACUCUUUAAUUCUGAUUCAUAUUCUCAGGUUUUGCGAUGCUGGCAGAACAUAUAGUCUAAAACUGUAUCUUAAUCCCACUUACCCAGAUUUUUCUCCUGAUACAUCAUUAAAACAUCUUUUUACCCAGCACAUGCUUGGUGUCACCAUUAACUUAUAUUCUGUAUGACGUGCCUUUCAAUUCCAAAAGCAAUCCUUUCGUAUAAAUAUUCCUGCAGAUCAUUAAGUCUGGUACUCUGGCACUAGGCAUAAUUGGAGGAUGAAUCCAAUAAUUUCAAACAAACAGUUCCAACACCUAUCCAUACAACAUUUGAGAUC
This is a long non-coding RNA of Mirounga angustirostris (Northern elephant seal), 6711 nucleotides long. RefSeq lists it as uncharacterized. Lineage: Eukaryota; Metazoa; Chordata; Mammalia; Carnivora; Phocidae. The transcript has 10 exons. The record is from RefSeq and is a predicted model, not a curated record.